RNAcentral lists this ribosomal RNA (635 nucleotides) under Staphylococcus epidermidis. Its description in RNAcentral is "bacterial SSU rRNA". It matches the Rfam family "Bacterial small subunit ribosomal RNA", at positions 56 to 672 of the family's 1533-position model. The record is from RNAcentral. Lineage: Bacteria; Bacillati; Bacillota; Bacilli; Caryophanales; Staphylococcaceae.
UGCAAGUCGAGCGAACAGACGAGGAAGCUUGCUCCUCUGACGUUAGCGGCGGACGGGUGAGUAACACGUGGAUAACCUACCUAUAAGACUGGGAUAACUUCGGGAAACCGGAGCUAAUACCGGAUAAUAUAUUGAACCGCAUGGUUCAAUAGUGAAAGACGGUUUUGCUGUCACUUAUAGAUGGAUCCGCGCCGCAUUAGCUAGUUGGUAAGGUAACGGCUUACCAAGGCAACGAUGCGUAGCCGACCUGAGAGGGUGAUCGGCCACACUGGAACUGAGACACGGUCCAGACUCCUACGGGAGGCAGCAGUAGGGAAUCUUCCGCAAUGGGCGAAAGCCUGACGGAGCAACGCCGCGUGAGUGAUGAAGGUCUUCGGAUCGUAAAACUCUGUUAUUAGGGAAGAACAAAUGUGUAAGUAACUAUGCACGUCUUGACGGUACCUAAUCAGAAAGCCACGGCUAACUACGUGCCAGCAGCCGCGGUAAUACGUAGGUGGCAAGCGUUAUCCGGAAUUAUUGGGCGUAAAGCGCGCGUAGGCGGUUUUUUAAGUCUGAUGUGAAAGCCCACGGCUCAACCGUGGAGGGUCAUUGGAAACUGGAAAACUUGAGUGCAGAAGAGGAAAGUGGAAUUCCAU